This 183-nucleotide ribosomal RNA is filed under the name Pseudomonas sp. PDM04. RNAcentral's name for it is "partial 23S ribosomal RNA". It matches the Rfam family "Bacterial large subunit ribosomal RNA", at positions 1 to 177 of the family's 2925-position model. The record is from RNAcentral. Lineage: Bacteria; Pseudomonadati; Pseudomonadota; Gammaproteobacteria; Pseudomonadales; Pseudomonadaceae.
GUUAUAUGGUCAAGUGAAGAAGCGCAUACGGUGGAUGCCUUGGCAGUCAGAGGCGAUGAAAGACGUGGUAGCCUGCGAAAAGCUUCGGGGAGUCGGCAAACAGACUUUGAUCCGGAGAUGUCUGAAUGGGGGAACCCAGCCAUCAUAAGAUGGUUAUCUUAAGCUGAAUACAUAGGCUUAAGA